This 24-nucleotide non-coding RNA is filed under the name Arabidopsis thaliana (thale cress). The record is from RNAcentral. Lineage: Eukaryota; Viridiplantae; Streptophyta; Magnoliopsida; Brassicales; Brassicaceae.
GGCAACGGCGCCAAAUUGAUAGUA